GUUGGCAACUCCGGUGUCCAGGGCCCAGGCGAUGUGGCAUCCCACAUGGGAACCUUUUAGAGCAUUGCCACUUCACCAGAGACCUGGCUCUUGAUAGUCUUGAGCCUACCAACUUCUUUCCUCUUCCCUCUUGAAGCCCCUAAAGGCAACUCCUCAAGCAAUUCCAAAGAAACAGAGCUACUGGCACUAAGCAGACUGAUCUUCGAAUUUCCCCCGUCUCUCAGAGCCUCUCUGGUGCAUGAAAUGGAGGCAGGGGAAGAUAGAAGAUGAAGAACAAAGCUCGUAUAUCAACGCGUUACCCCACCAGGCUUCUGACUGCAUGCCCAAGGAAUAAGCCACAAGCCAAUUCACUGACCAAAGCCAAGCUGGCUGGGGACCACAGACCUGAACACAGGCUCGCUCUUUCCUCCACAUUCAGCUCCAGGACACCUGUGGGCCCAGGCGUAUGAUGCUGGGACCUGCAGGUGACCAAGGAUGAGUGAGUUCUUCUGGGGUCCCAAAACUCAGGGUCAUCUGUGAGUUGGACACAGAGCCUGGAGCAAGAACCAGGAGACAGUUUGAGAAGAGAUGGGUGUUGAGGGGCCCAACGUCUCUCCUGAAGAAGAGGGGACCAUGCGCUUGGGCAGGGUCACUACGGAGCAUUAUUCACAAUAGCCAAAAGACGGAAGCAAACUGUUGCCCAUCAAUGGAUAAAUGGAUACACAAAAAUGUGGUCUACGCAUACGAUAUCCUUCAGCCUUGCAAAGAAAGGAAACUGAUACCCAUUACAACAUAGAGGAGCCUUGAGGACAUUAUUAAGUGAAAUAAGCAGACAUGAAAGGACAAGCAUUGGCGGCUCCACCUCUCCGAGGCGUCUGCAGAGUCAGAUUCACAGAAAGCACAAGUUCCUAGGAGACAAGGGAAAAUGGGAGUUGCUAUUUGAUGGGUAUAGAGUGUGUUUCAGAAGAUGAAAACGUCCUGGAGAUCUGUUGCACAACAAUGUAAAUAUGCUAGCACUACCGCACUGUCCGCUUAAAAAUGGUUAAGACGCACACGUUAUGCUAUAUGCUUUGUAAAAUUUAAAAAUUUUUAGUGUUUGAAAUUUUAACAAUUCUGGAUGUGUACGCUGGUGAUAGU
Molecule: long non-coding RNA, 1116 nt
Organism: Bos taurus (domestic cattle)
Lineage: Eukaryota; Metazoa; Chordata; Mammalia; Artiodactyla; Bovidae
Source: Ensembl